ACCCCGGUGGCGCAAUGGAUAGCGCGUCGGACUUCUAAUCCGGAGGUUGUGGGUUCGAGUCCCACCCGGGACA
Molecule: non-coding RNA, 73 nt
Organism: Echinostoma caproni
Lineage: Eukaryota; Metazoa; Platyhelminthes; Trematoda; Plagiorchiida; Echinostomatidae
Source: Rfam